This is a long non-coding RNA of Mauremys reevesii (Reeves's turtle), 673 nucleotides long. RefSeq lists it as uncharacterized. The transcript has 2 exons. NCBI's taxonomy places the organism in Eukaryota, Metazoa, Chordata, Testudines, Geoemydidae. The record is from RefSeq and is a predicted model, not a curated record.
UUGACUGGGUGAAGUGGGGUGGGGGGGCAGAGGCUAAGGCUAGAAAGCUAGAGCCAGAAGGCUGAGCUCCAUUUUGAAAGGACUAGAAAUGACAUCUUCAUGAAGAGCAGAUGGGAACAGAAGAAGAGCUCCAGGUGUGGUAGAAGAUGCCAGAGUUGAGUAUGAACUUGUGUGUUAUGGUGAUGGACUUUAUUUUGGAACACUGCGGAUUGCCAUGAACAGUUUCUGUUAUUAAACUGGCCCAGGCAGGAGUGGUGUUAGCUAGAAGAGACUGUGGAGACUUUCAGGGACUCUGAAGAAGGAAAACAGGCUGCUGCAGAACCAGCCCUUUGUAUAUGGCAGGGUGAAGUCACUCCAGUGUGGAGAGCCGACAUAUCGACAGCCCACUUGCCCCACCAAAAAAAAAGGGGGAAGAAUCUGCUAUGUUGUGUGAAGAUCUACAUUGGAUCUGAUUUUGAGAUACAUUAAUUAUAUCAAUUUAAUAAUUGAAGAAACAUUGACUUCAGGUACUCGAUUUAUCUGCAUUUUGGGGGUUAUUAAGAGAACUCCUAGACACAUCUUCAUUUCAUCUUCUCCUUCCUGAUCUUGAAUAUAAAAUAUCUUGAUGUGCUGUUUGUCUGCAUUUUUAUCUAAUCAACUAAACAAAUAUAAAUAAUUCAGUUGUUUCAAUGGC